GAUCCUGGCUCAGGACGAACGCUGGCGGCGUGCCUAACACAUGCAAGUCGAACGAAGCACUUCCGAAUGGAGAUUCGUCAAAGUUCGGAUUUGACUUAGUGGCGGACGGGUGAGUAAUGCAUGAGCAACCUGCCCUGCAGUGGGGGACAACAGUUGGAAACGACUGCUAAUACCGCAUGAUGUGCCGAGGGGGCAUCCCUUUGGCACCAAAGAAUUUAUCGCUGUGGGAUGGG
This 233-nucleotide ribosomal RNA is filed under the name uncultured bacterium. RNAcentral describes it as "partial 16S ribosomal RNA". It matches the Rfam family "Bacterial small subunit ribosomal RNA", at positions 15 to 229 of the family's 1533-position model. The record is from RNAcentral.